Molecule: long non-coding RNA, 838 nt
Organism: Dermochelys coriacea (leatherback sea turtle)
Lineage: Eukaryota; Metazoa; Chordata; Testudines; Dermochelyidae
Exons: 2
Source: RefSeq, a predicted model, not a curated record
GGGGGGUGGACAUCUGGAUGCUGUAGCAAGCCCCUUAAACUGAGCCUUCCCAGAGUCCGAUCUCUGUCUCUCUGUGCAGCUGGGUGUGGCCCUGCCCAUGUGCUUGGCUGGAAAAGGCUAGCCCAGCAAGACCAGGAUUCUGUUCCAUGGGCAGCUUUGGUAGGAGUGACAGGAGCAGAGACCUCACUCAAAUGGCCUAAAAUCUGUCUGUGAGAGGAGAAUGAAGCCUAAGCAGUGACUUUCCUCCAUCCUUAACCCUGUAGAAGCCUGCCCUUACAUAUGAAAUCUAAGUGGCCGGAGAUGCGUGAGUUGUGGGUGGGGGUGGCAAAGCUGAGGAACAUCCAUGUUAAAUAGCAACAGUUUCCAGAAAACCCAUGGGAAAAUAGUAGUGGGAAUUCUGGUCUUGCAGCAUUAACUCUGUUUCUGCUCUGGGCUUUGAGACAGUGGGCCAGCAUGGCUUCACAGGGAGCCAGGUUGCCAUGGGAAUGAGAGGGCUCGAUGAUUGUCAUGAAGGAUAUCUGACACAGAUGUCCUGAUAUCUGUGGGGUUUUUCUCUGUAGAUUUCCUUAAUUUGCUUCAGUAGGAGUUGUAGAUGCUCAGCACUUAGGAUCAGGCCAUAACUGUUUUUCUUUAAUGAAAUAGUUUAAAAAAAAAACAAAAAACUGCCACAGCCUUGUGUGGUGCAAAGCUGUCCUAGCAACCUCAAACAGUCCAGCUAUGAUAUGUAGCUGUGUUCUCUUUCUGCUUUUAGGCAGCUUUUAUGUCCUCCUCAUUGUUUUAGGCUGUUGGUGUCACUUCAAAGGUGUAUGGUAUUUUAAAAUAAAAAGUUUACACCUGG